CAAUGUUUAUGACAUUUUUAUUUCUUAUGUAGAUAAAAUUUAUCGAUGAAAGAUUGUUGGUUUUCUUGGGAUUUUGGAACUACUUUCCUGUCCCCCCAUAUCCGUUUUUGAUUGAAAGGCUGUUUAUUUGUCCUCCUUCAAACAAUUGCAUAUAAUUGUAUUAUGUCCCAGUUUUGAUGCAUCUAGGGAGAGGUUAAAUACAAUAUACCAGGAUUUAGGAGUAAUUAAACAAACCCUAUCAAAGGAGAUAUAUUUUUAAAGAUAAUUUUAAUGUUCUAUAGGCAUACAAUUAAGAACUUAUCUUAAUUAAAACCACUAUCUAUGCAGAUGUUGCAUACAGUAAUGUUAUGUUUAUUGGUAGAAUGGUUAUGUUAUUAUGUCAAGUUUAUGAUACUCAUUUAAAGCCCUAUAUUUUGUAUAAAAUAAUUAUUAAUACUGGGGAUUCAUUUAUUUUCGUGGGUACCAAUUUUCAUGUAUUUUUGUGGAUUUUUGAUUUCCUAGUUUUGCCAAAGUCUGCAUACAAGCCUAUGGAAAAUGUGUACAUCUUUGAACAUUUAAGUUCCUGGUUCAGCUUUUUCCAAAUAAUCCACAAAAUUGGUUUUCCAGGAAAAUAAAAAAUCCACAGUUUUGAAUUUUGUGAUAAAAAGUUGGUAAAUGUUAUAAAUGAGACAGACAAAUUAGAAUUUGAGAUUUCACAAAAUGUUGAAACAAUUGAUAAGUGCUUUCUAUUAUGGUGCAAAGUUUUUCAGUGCCUGAUUUUGUUAUUGCUGGUUUCACAUAUUUUUUUAUGAUUUCAUAUUGGAAAAAAUAAAUUCACAUUGGUUUCUAACACUUAGUACAUAAGAUAUAAUAUUUUAUUGCCAUGAUAUUUUUAUUGGGAAAUCUAAAUUAGAAACAG
RNAcentral lists this long non-coding RNA (898 nucleotides) under Mytilus galloprovincialis (Mediterranean mussel). Lineage: Eukaryota; Metazoa; Mollusca; Bivalvia; Mytilida; Mytilidae. The record is from RNAcentral.